Molecule: ribosomal RNA, 762 nt
Filed under: uncultured archaeon
Lineage: Archaea
Description: bacterial SSU rRNA
Rfam family: Archaeal small subunit ribosomal RNA
Source: RNAcentral
GGAUAACCUGCCCUUGGGUCCGGCAUAACCCCGGGAAACUGGGGAUAAUACCGGAUAACGCACAUAUGCUGGAAUGCUUUAUGCGUAAAAUGGAUUCGUCUGCCCAAGGAUGGGUCUGCGGCCUAUCAGGUAGUAGUGGGUGUAAUGUACCUACUAGCCAACAACGGGUACGGGUUGUGAGAGCAAGAGCCCGGAGAUGGAUUCUGAGACAUGAAUCCAGGCCCUACGGGGCGCAGCAGGCGCGAAAACUUUACAAUGCGGGAAACCGUGAUAAGGGGACACCGAGUGCCAGCAUCAUAUGCUGGCUGUCCAGGUGUGUAAAAUACACCUGUCAGCAAGGGCCGGGCAAGACCGGUGCCAGCCGCCGCGGUAACACCGGCGGCCCGAGUGGUGAUCGUGAUUAUUGGGUCUAAAGGGUCCGUAGCCGGUUUGGUCAGUCCUCCGGGAAAUCUGACGGCUUAACCGUUAGGCUUUCGGGGGAUACUGCCAGGCUUGGAACCGGGAGAGGUAAGAGGUACUACAGGGGUAGGAGUGAAAUCUUGUAAUCCCUGUGGGACCACCUGUGGCGAAGGCGUCUUACCAGAACGGGUUCGACGGUGAGGGACGAAAGCUGGGGGCACGAACCGGAUUAGAUACCCGGGUAGUCCCAGCCGUAAACGAUGCUCGCUAGGUGUCANGCAUGGCGCGACCGUGUCUGGUGCCGCANGGGAAGCCGUGAAGCGAGCCACCUGGGGAAGUACCGGCCGCAAGGCUGAAACUUAA